AGAGAUAACUUAAAACUAUACAAAACUAAGUCACAAAAUUAAUCCUACAAAAAUUUUAUAAGGUGAAAACAAAUUUCUUGCACAACUCUUUUAUUGAAAAUUUCAAUAGAAAGUUCUCAUUGCAUAGUUUGAUGAAAAUUCAUUAUGCCCAAGUCACAUUUUUUGACUGGGAACAAGAGAUUGAGCCGAGCUGUUAGGAUUUGUCAUAAUGCCAAGCACCUGCAUUAAAACAUAUUUAAAGUAUUAUUUUGAUCGGUACAUAUCUUUGUAUUGUUCAUAAUUUGUGUAUAUAUGUCUUCAUUUUAGCCAAACAAAUUUUUUUAGUACGUAGUGCAGAUUUUAGAAUCAUGUAUUUAUUACAAUAAUGCGUGGCUAAAGUGCUUUUUCUGUAUGAAUUUUUUGUUAGGGCCAGUGAGAGCAAUUUUAUUUAUUAAAGAGAUACACUGUAUAGUGGUUAUUUGCUGAUACAUUUUAGUUCAUUUGCUGGAAUCAAAAUCUCCAAAAAAUUAUUAACCAGCAUGACAAAAUUUUGAUACUCUUUAUAUUUGUUUUACAUUGGUGUAGGUUAAAUGCUGUUUACCGAUUAUUACAGUGUGAUUUUUUUAUUACCAAAUUUGGAUUUUUAGGUCACCUGAUCUUGGAUAAACAAUUACCUUUUAAGAUGAUAUGUAGGGGGUGAAAUAACAAAUUUCAAAAUGUAAGCUUAUGACAAAACUGUACAGUAAAAAUUGAAACCAAAACAAAAUCCUAUGCUACUUUUUAUUACAAGCUGAUAAAAGUAAAAUAUGUACUCACUGUUAAAUGUAAAUUCUGAUUUUUCUGGUUGGCAUUUUAAGUUUGGUUAACUCUCAUAGGGAUAAUUCUUGUAGUUUUUAAUAUGAACAGAAUAUGGUUAUUUAUGAAACUAAGAUUGAAACUGUCCACAAGCUUGCCGUACAACUUUCAUAUACCAGAUCAAUUAAAACAUUUCACAAAAAAAAUUAUGAAAAAAUAACAUCGGAUAUUUUAAAUUACAGCAUUAAGUGAUUUGUGGUACAUUGCUUUGCUUUGUAUAAAUCACUUAUCUUAAAAACAACAUUGUUCUGCACACGUAAAUGUAUACAGAACACAAAAUAUUCCAUUUUUCUCUCUCAGAAGCACCUCAAAAAUGAAAAAAAAGCAGAUGUUCAAAAUUUCUCACAAAAUUUUAUAUCAAGCCCUACCUUUGUUCAGUGUUUCAACUUAACUUUUUUGAAAUAUUGUGUUAAGAUGUCAGGACUUGUUCAGUGGAAUAAAAUUAUAAAAUAUUUA
This is a long non-coding RNA of Saccostrea cuccullata (small rock oyster), 1290 nucleotides long. RefSeq lists it as uncharacterized. The transcript is spliced from 2 exons. NCBI's taxonomy places the organism in Eukaryota, Metazoa, Mollusca, Bivalvia, Ostreida, Ostreidae. The record is from RefSeq and is a predicted model, not a curated record.